CUUCACAUUUCACCGUAAUCGGCCGUUGUCUUUGUAACGUCUUCAUUUAUAGAGUUAUCCAAGCAUUAAGGUCUUCUUCACCAAUCCGCUCACUCUCUCGAACUGAUUAUCAACAUAAACCAGAAACGUAUGGUCUUCAGCUCGGGAACUCCAACGAACUGAUGCAUUUCACGAAAAGGAAUUGCAGCAUAUAGAUAUUUCAUUUCGCUUCAAAACAUAGUAAUCCAUCAGGUUUCGCGUACUGAACUGAAGACUGGACGUACUCCUUAUCCUGUUGUCACAAGGCUUCUUCGUUUUUGGGAACCACGUAGUCUCAAGAAAUGUGGUGAUCUUAUGCGUCCACAUGCCACUCCUUGAUGAGAAGGUCAUUGCAUUUUGUUAUUUUCUCCUAAACUUUAUAUAUUCAAAAUAUUACUGGAUCGUUGUCAUCUUCUCAGUCGACGCUCAUUCAAGGUUCAAUCAAUGUCGACCAAUUGAUCACUUUCAGACAUCUACCAUCUACUUAAGUUAACGUCUAGGGUGAUUAAUCUUCACCAAGGAUAUGGAUUCAUUGAGCUCUGAACUUUGAAGCAAAGAAAAUGAUGACUAGGCAAUUAAGGUUCUUAACAUGAUUAAGCUCCAUGGGAAGUCUAUAUGUGCUAACCGGGCGUCUCAAGAUAAGAAGAGCUUGGAUGUUGGUGCUAACCUUUUUCAUUGGAAACCUUGACCGUGGAAUGGCCGGACAAUGUCUCAGUAAUUGUCAAAUAACAGUCUCUUUAGCUUACAAGAAAUACACCAAAGGCGAGCACCAACAAGUCAUUAAUCUUAUGUGCAACCUCUACAAUGUUUAAAUGCACUGGUCUUCCAAAACCAAACCCGAAUGUUCACAAUGUCUACAUAUACUUCUAUGGUGUCUUAACUGUGUAUUGCUCACAAUUCAUUGUUUACAUGAAUUAUAACUAUUUAAGUUAUAUACACCAUAAUUAAAAAUUCUGAUUUUGUCUUACUUGAAUGAUGUAACGAAAGAGAAGAUGAGAGAUUUAAUGAAACAAAUUUGGGAUGUAAGGUCAAGAUCCAAGCAAUUAAAGGAGAAGAUCACUUCAUUGUGGUUAGAGAACAUUACGGAAGCUUUAUUAGGACAGCUACAUAAAAGCAAAACAAGAGUUUUCAUCUGACAAGCUUUAUUUGGCUGGAAAGCAAAGCAAGAACAAAGGAACAAGAAAAUAUGAGAGCAGAAGAAGUUGCACACGUCAAGACAGAAGAUGAGAAGAGUUGUAGAAAGCAAGAAAGAAAGAACAUCAAGAGAGAGACCAAAUAAAAGGAAGGACUAUAAAACCAAAACAGAACAAGGAGAAUGGAACCACUUCACGUUCUAAACUGAAGAAGAGACUCACAAAGAUUCACAAGAAGAAAACAAGUCUUGGUAAAAUCGCUUUUAGAAAAGGAUAUGGUGGUCCAGUUGCAGCUAAGCUACUUGGAACUAAUAGGAAAGAGAGAAAAAGAAAAGAUAUUUCACUUGCUUAUCUGAGCCAAGCUGCCAAUAACCAACGAGGAAAUGGUUUUCCAUCAAGAUAAUUUGGUAUUUUUACCCUGAAAUCAAUGAAUCUCCCUAUACAUUAAAAGAGAAGUCACUUUAGUGAUUUCUGCUUACGUGGCGAUCAUACAAGACACUCUCGGAUUAAUUCUUAUAAUCUUAUUGGUCGGUAUUUUUUUAAUUUCUUUUUGAAUUAUUUUUUUCUAUCGGCCAAACCUUGUCAAAAACACAUACCAUGUAAUUAAUAUAUUUAUAUACGUUCUUAAC
Raphanus sativus (radish) is the source of this 1780-nucleotide long non-coding RNA. RefSeq lists it as uncharacterized. The transcript has 6 exons. Lineage: Eukaryota; Viridiplantae; Streptophyta; Magnoliopsida; Brassicales; Brassicaceae. The record is from RefSeq and is a predicted model, not a curated record.